Molecule: ribosomal RNA, 253 nt
Filed under: uncultured bacterium
Lineage: Bacteria
Description: partial 16S ribosomal RNA
Rfam family: Bacterial small subunit ribosomal RNA
Source: RNAcentral
UACGGAGGGUGCAAACGUUGCUCGGAAUCAUUGGGCGUAAAGCGCACGUAGGCGGCCCAGCAAGUCGGGUGUGGAAGCCCUCGGCUUAACCGAGGAAGUGCAUUCGAAACUACUGAGCUUGAAUACUGGAGAGGAUCGCGGAAUUCCCGGUGUAGAGGUGAAAUUCGUAGAUAUCGGGAGGAACACCAGUGGCGAAGGCGGCGAUCUGGACAGAUAUUGACGCUGAGGUGCGAAAGCGUGGGGAGCAAACAGG